AGUGAACGCUGGCGGUAGGCCUAACACAUGCAAGUCGAACGGCAGCACAGUAAGAGCUUGCUCUUACGGGUGGCGAGUGGCGGACGGGUGAGGAAUACAUCGGAAUCUACUUUUUCGUGGGGGAUAACGUAGGGAAACUUACGCUAAUACCGCAUACGACCUACGGGUGAAAGCAGGGGAUCUUCGGACCUUGCGCGAUUGAAUGAGCCGAUGUCGGAGUAGCUAGUUGGCGGGGUAAAGGCCCACCAAGGCGACGAUCCGUAGCUGGUCUGAGAGGAUGAUCAGCCACACUGGAACUGAGACACGGUCCAGACUCCUACGGGAGGCAGCAGUGGGGAAUAUUGGACAAAGGGCGCAAGCCUGAUCCAGCCAUACCGCGUGGGUGAAGAAGGCCUUCGGGUUGUAAAGCCCUUUUGUUGGGAAAGAAAAGCAGCAGGUUAAUACCCCGCUGUUCUGACGGUACCCAAAGAAUAAGCACCGGCUAACUUCGUG
RNAcentral lists this ribosomal RNA (492 nucleotides) under uncultured bacterium. Its description in RNAcentral is "partial 16S ribosomal RNA". It matches the Rfam family "Bacterial small subunit ribosomal RNA", at positions 29 to 507 of the family's 1533-position model. The record is from RNAcentral.